UACGUAGGUGGCAAGCGUUGUCCGGAAUUAUUGGGCGUAAAGCGCGCGCAGGCGGUCCUUUAAGUCUGAUGUGAAAGCCCACGGCUCAACCGUGGAGGGUCACUGGAAACUGGGGGACUUGAGUACAGAAGAGAAGAGUGGAAUUCCACGUGUAGCGGUGAAAUGCGUAGAGAUGUGGAGGAACACCAGUGGCGAAGGCGACUCUUUGGUCUGUAACUGACGCUGAGGCGCGAAAGCGUGGGGAGCAAACAGG
This 253-nucleotide ribosomal RNA is filed under the name uncultured bacterium. Its description in RNAcentral is "partial 16S ribosomal RNA". It matches the Rfam family "Bacterial small subunit ribosomal RNA", at positions 524 to 776 of the family's 1533-position model. The record is from RNAcentral.